This is a long non-coding RNA of Xenia sp. Carnegie-2017, 278 nucleotides long. RefSeq lists it as uncharacterized. The transcript has 3 exons. Lineage: Eukaryota; Metazoa; Cnidaria; Anthozoa; Malacalcyonacea; Xeniidae. The record is from RefSeq and is a predicted model, not a curated record.
AUGAGCCAACUCCAUGUUCAUUUAAAAAAUAUAGGCUGCAUUGGUGGCUCAUUGCAUACAAUAUUAGAGCAGGCAGACUCUAUGUGUUAUGCAGUAUGGGGUGGCAAAAAAGUGAAGUUGCAUCCAGUAUACGAAGAUAUUUUCAGCAUGUGAGGCAAGAGCAAAGAUGGCCAGAAGACAUUGCUCAAAUUUCCCAACCUAUAUAUGCCGACGUGAUACAACAAGCAAAUGGUUAUGACUGUGGCAUAUUCGUGACAGAAUUUGCGAGAAGAAUAACA